UUUUCAUCAGACAAUCUGUGUGAGCACUGCAAAGUACGCUUCUUUAAGGUAAGGAGGUGAUCCAACCGCAGGUUCCCCUACGGUUACCUUGUUACGACUUCACCCCAGUCAUGAAUCACAAAGUGGUAAGCGCCCUCCCGAAGGUUAAGCUACCUACUUCUUUUGCAACCCACUCCCAUGGUGUGACGGGCGGUGUGUACAAGGCCCGGGAACGUAUUCACCGUGGCAUUCUGAUCCACGAUUACUAGCGAUUCCGACUUCAUGGAGUCGAGUUGCAGACUCCAAUCCGGACUACGACGCACUUUAUGAGGUCCGCUUGCUCUCGCGAGGUCGCUUCUCUUUGUAUGCGCCAUUGUAGCACGUGUGUAGCCCUGGUCGUAAGGGCCAUGAUGACUUGACGUCAUCCCCACCUUCCUCCAGUUUAUCACUGGCAGUCUCCUUUGAGUUCCCGGCCGGACCGCUGGCAACAAAGGAUAAGGGUUGCGCUCGUUGCGGGACUUAACCCAACAUUUCACAACACGAGCUGACGACAGCCAUGCAGCACCUGUCUCACGGUUCCCGAAGGCACAUUCUCAUCUCUGAAAACUUCCGUGGAUGUCAAGACCAGGUAAGGUUCUUCGCGUUGCAUCGAAUUAAACCACAUGCUCCACCGCUUGUGCGGGCCCCCGUCAAUUCAUUUGAGUUUUAACCUUGCGGCCGUACUCCCCAGGCGGUCUACUUAACGCGUUAGCUCCGGAAGCCACGCCUCAAGGGCACAACCUCCAAGUAGACAUCGUUUACGGCGUGGACUACCAGGGUAUCUAAUCCUGUUUGCUCCCCACGCUUUCGCACCUGAGCGUCAGUCUUUGUCCAGGGGGCCGCCUUCGCCACCGGUAUUCCUCCAGAUCUCUACGCAUUUCACCGCUACACCUGGAAUUCUACCCCCCUCUACAAGACUCAAGCCUGCCAGUUUCGAAUGCAGUUCCCAGGUUGAGCCCGGGGAUUUCACAUCCGACUUGACAGACCGCCUGCGUGCGCUUUACGCCCAGUAAUUCCGAUUAACGCUUGCACCCUCCGUAUUACCGCGGCUGCUGGCACGGAGUUAGCCGGUGCUUCUUCUGCGGGUAACGUCAAUUGCUGCGGUUAUUAACCACAACACCUUCCUCCCCGCUGAAAGUACUUUACAACCCGAAGGCCUUCUUCAUACACGCGGCAUGGCUGCAUCAGGCUUGCGCCCAUUGUGCAAUAUUCCCCACUGCUGCCUCCCGUAGGAGUCUGGACCGUGUCUCAGUUCCAGUGUGGCUGGUCAUCCUCUCAGACCAGCUAGGGAUCGUCGCCUUGGUGAGCCGUUACCUCACCAACAAGCUAAUCCCAUCUGGGCACAUCUGAUGGCAAGAGGCCCGAAGGUCCCCCUCUUUGGUCUUGCGACGUUAUGCGGUAUUAGCCACCGUUUCCAGUAGUUAUCCCCCUCCAUCAGGCAGUUUCCCAGACAUUACUCACCCGUCCGCCACUCGUCAGCAAAGCAGCAAGCUGCUUCCUGUUACCGUUCGACUUGCAUGUGUUAGGCCUGCCGCCAGCGUUCAAUCUGAGCCAUGAUCAAACUCUUCAAUUUAAAAGUUUGAUGCUCAAUGAAUUAAACUUCGUAAUGAAUUACGUGUUCACUCUUGAGACUUGGUAUUCAUUUUUCGUCUUGCGACGUUAAGAAGCCGUAUCUUCGAGUGCCCACACAGAUUGUCUGAUAAAUUGUUAAAGAGCAGUGCAACGCGGCUUUCAGCUCACCGUCGCGAGGUGGCGUAUAUUACGCUUUCCUCUUUUUGAGUCAA
Molecule: ribosomal RNA, 1802 nt
Filed under: Salmonella enterica subsp. enterica serovar Paratyphi A
Lineage: Bacteria; Pseudomonadati; Pseudomonadota; Gammaproteobacteria; Enterobacterales; Enterobacteriaceae
Description: 16S ribosomal RNA
Source: RNAcentral